RNAcentral lists this microRNA (22 nucleotides) under Anolis carolinensis (green anole). RNAcentral describes it as "aca-miR-5435b-5p". The record is from miRBase by way of RNAcentral. Lineage: Eukaryota; Metazoa; Chordata; Lepidosauria; Squamata; Anolidae.
UAGGAAUUUGCUAGUUCUUCCA